This 1273-nucleotide ribosomal RNA is filed under the name Salmonella enterica. RNAcentral describes it as "partial 23S ribosomal RNA". It matches the Rfam family "Bacterial large subunit ribosomal RNA", at positions 1167 to 2396 of the family's 2925-position model. Lineage: Bacteria; Pseudomonadati; Pseudomonadota; Gammaproteobacteria; Enterobacterales; Enterobacteriaceae. The record is from RNAcentral.
AAAACGAUUCAGAAGCUUACGAUUGACGGAGCGAAGCGACGUCAAAGCGUAUACAAAGUCGAGUCGGUUUAAGGAUACGUUCGUUGGGUAGGGGAGCGUUCUGUAAGCCGUUGAAGGUGUCCUGUGAGGGGUGCUGGAGGUAUCAGAAGUGCGAAUGCUGACAUAAGUAACGAUAAAGCGGGUGAAAAGCCCGCUCGCCGGAAGACCAAGGGUUCCUGUCCAACGUUAAUCGGGGCAGGGUGAGUCGACCCCUAAGGCGAGGCCGAAAGGCGUAGUCGAUGGGAAACGGGUUAAUAUUCCCGUACUUGGUGUUACUGCGAAGGGGGGACGGAGAAGGCUAUGUUGGCCGGGCGACGGUAGUCCCGGUUUAAGCGUGUAGGUGUGUGUUCCAGGCAAAUCCGGUUCACUUUAACACUGAGGCGUGACGACGAGGCACCACGGUGCUGAAGCAACAAAUGCCCUGCUUCCAGGAAAAGCCUCUAAGCAUCAGGUAACAUCAAAUCGUACCCCAAACCGACACAGGUGGUCAGGUAGAGAAUACCAAGGCGCUUGAGAGAACUCGGGUGAAGGAACUAGGCAAAAUGGUGCCGUAACUUCGGGAGAAGGCACGCUGACACGUAGGUGAAGUGAUUUACUCAUGGAGCUGAAGUCAGUCGAAGAUACCAGCUGGCUGCAACUGUUUAUUAAAAACACAGCACUGUGCAAACACGAAAGUGGACGUAUACGGUGUGACGCCUGCCCGGUGCCGGAAGGUUAAUUGAUGGGGUCAGCGCAAGCGAAGCUCCUGAUCGAAGCCCCGGUAAACGGCGGCCGUAACUAUAACGGUCCUAAGGUAGCGAAAUUCCUUGUCGGGUAAGUUCCGACCUGCACGAAUGGCGUAAUGAUGGCCAGGCUGUCUCCACCCGAGACUCAGUGAAAUUGAACUCGCUGUGAAGAUGCAGUGUACCCGCGGCAAGACGGAAAGACCCCGUGAACCUUUACUAUAGCUUGACACUGAACAUUGAGCCUUGAUGUGUAGGAUAGGUGGGAGGCUUUGAAGCGUGGACGCCAGUCUGCGUGGAGCCGACCUUGAAAUACCACCCUUUAAUGUUUGAUGUUCUAACGUGGACCCGUAAUCCGGGUUGCGGACAGUGUCUGGUGGGUAGUUUGACUGGGGCGGUCUCCUCCUAAAGAGUAACGGAGGAGCACGAAGGUUGGCUAAUCCUGGUCGGACAUCAGGAGGUUAGUGCAAUGGCAUAAGCCAGCUUGACUGCGAGCGUGACGGCGCGAGCAG